This 272-nucleotide ribosomal RNA is filed under the name uncultured archaeon. Its description in RNAcentral is "partial 16S ribosomal RNA". It matches the Rfam family "Archaeal small subunit ribosomal RNA", at positions 748 to 1019 of the family's 1478-position model. The record is from RNAcentral.
CAGCCGUAAACUAUGCGCGUUAGGUGUAUCGGUGACCACGAGUCACCGAGGUGCCGAAGGGAAACCGUGAAACGUGCCGCCUGGGAAGUACGGUCGCAAGGCUGAAACUUAAAGGAAUUGGCGGGGGAGCACAACAACGGGUGGAGCCUGCGGUUUAAUUGGACUCAACGCCGGACAACUCACCGGGAACGACAGCAAUAUGUAGGCCAGGCUGAAGACCUUGCCUGAAUCGCUGAGAGGUGGUGCAUGGCGUAGACGUGUCUGAGUCGGAG